Molecule: non-coding RNA, 46 nt
Filed under: Trichobilharzia regenti
Lineage: Eukaryota; Metazoa; Platyhelminthes; Trematoda; Strigeidida; Schistosomatidae
Source: RNAcentral
GUACUGUUGAAGAGUCCCAAACCAGGACUAAAUAGCUGUCCAGUAC